This is a non-coding RNA of Plectropomus leopardus (leopard coralgrouper), 852 nucleotides long. The record is from RefSeq and is a predicted model, not a curated record. Lineage: Eukaryota; Metazoa; Chordata; Actinopteri; Perciformes; Serranidae.
CUUUGACUUCACAAAUCUCUCUGACUCAUCUGUGUGCCUGAGAGGAACGUCUGCUGAGGAGGAGAAGAAGAUCGUGGAGAGCUCCAUUCAACCUUACGGCAUUCUGAUACAGGAAUUAAACAACAACAAAAGCAACCGCCAUGAUGCUGUUGACGGCUUACGGAAGAGUCUCUCUGUACCUGGAGAUUUGUCUGUUUCCAACCAUGGACGCAACUUUGAUGAUGACAGUGAUGAUGACAGUGAUGAUGACAGUGAUGAUGACAGCAUCCAUAACACUGGUUCACCUGAAGGCACAGAUGGAUGGAGGGGUCGCUCUGUACGUGAACAAAGGCCAGUUUCCUACCAUGGAACAAGCUUGGAUGAAGCCUCAGGCAUCAUCAGAAGUCACAACAAAGCAGAAGGACAAAAGUCAGUGGAGAGUUUGAUAAUGACGGUUUUAACAAUGCUGGUUCUCCUGGUGGUUUUCUUCAUUUGUUCUAUUCUUCAUGUCUAACACUGUUGAAAUAGAGCCAGAGCAAGUGUCAAAUUGUUGCUCAGGGGGCUUUCAAGAGCUCCUGUUUCCUGUGUCUAUAACUCGACUCUCUUCAUGAUGUAAAAUUUACAUUGAUUUUCAAUCCAUUGUAUAACCUGAUUAACAAAGCUGUGUCCCAAACUGCUGCAUUGGAUAAUCAUCAACAGUAAAACUUUUACUUAACUUACAGAACACACUAGCUUUAGUAAAUAAGCAGACUUUAUGUUAAAGGUCUGAAGUUUCAUUUAAUCAAUCAAUUUCUAACUAUGAAUGAUGGGGGUCCUAUAUGAACACACUGUUUUCUGUUAUUACUGUGUGUCAACAUUAAUCUGUACAGAGAU